UACGGAGGGUGCAAGCGUUAUCCGGAUUCACUGGGUUUAAAGGGUGCGUAGGUGGGCAGGUAAGUCAGUGGUGAAAUCCUGUAGCUUAACUACAGAACUGCCAUUGAUACUAUUUGUCUUGAAUACCCUGGAGGUGAGCGGAAUAUGGUCAUGUAGCGGUGAAAUGCUUAGAUAUGACAUAGAACAUCUAUUGCGAAGGCAGCUCACUACGGGAAUAUUGACGCUGAGGCACGAAAGCGUGGGGAUCAAACAGG
This 254-nucleotide ribosomal RNA is filed under the name uncultured bacterium. RNAcentral's name for it is "partial 16S ribosomal RNA". It matches the Rfam family "Bacterial small subunit ribosomal RNA", at positions 524 to 776 of the family's 1533-position model. The record is from RNAcentral.